Molecule: ribosomal RNA, 481 nt
Filed under: uncultured bacterium
Lineage: Bacteria
Description: bacterial SSU rRNA
Rfam family: Bacterial small subunit ribosomal RNA
Source: RNAcentral
AUCGUAACUCCUACGGGAGGCAGCAGUAGGGAAUCUUCCGCAAUGGACGAAAGUCUGACGGAGCAAUGCCGCGUGAGUGAAGAAGGUUUUCGGAUCGUAAAACUCUGUUGUUAGAGAAGAACAAGGAUGAGAGUAACUGCUCAUCCCCUGACGGUAUCUAACCAGAAAGCCACGGCUAACUACGUGCCAGCAGCCGCGGUAAUACGUAGGUGGCAAGCGUUGUCCGGAUUUAUUGGGCGUAAAGCGAGCGCAGGCGGUUUUUUAAGUCUGAUGUGAAAGCCCCCGGCUCAACCGGGGAGGGUCAUUGGAAACUGGAGAACUUGAGUGCAGAAGAGGAGAGUGGAAUUCCACGUGUAGCGGUGAAAUGCGUAGAUAUGUGGAGGAACACCAGUGGCGAAGGCGACUCUCUGGUCUGUAACUGACGCUGAGGCUCGAAAGCGUGGGGAGCAAACAGGAUUAGAAACCCUAGUAGUCCUAGAGC